This 449-nucleotide long non-coding RNA is filed under the name Anser cygnoides (Swan goose). RNAcentral describes it as "lncRNA (ENSACDG00005018459.1)". Lineage: Eukaryota; Metazoa; Chordata; Aves; Anseriformes; Anatidae. The record is from RNAcentral.
AUGAUCUGUGUCAUUUUUAUUCUGCCUUCAGGGAAAGUGAUGAAGAAAUGGCUAUAUCUCAUAGAGAAUGAGAGAAGUUUUGCAGAAAAUGGCUGGAGAAAGGUCAAAUUUCUGUUUUUAGUGUUUCCUGGAGCUGUGCACCUGGGAAGCUUUUACUCCAUGUUUAUGACAGUUCAGCAAUGUCAGCUGUGGUUACUUGAGACACAGUGGUUAAACCUGACAUAGUCUGGGAUGUGCCACAAACUCCACAACCAUCCCGCAACCUCACAAUCCUUCUCAGAGUUAGUGCAGCGCAGUUAGCGGCACGCCAAAUUUACAAGCCAGGAGAGUUUGACAUCAGUGGGAGUCGUCUCAUAAAGGAGCGUACAACGUGACUCCAGAAGAGAGACGUGAAUUCCUCAAGCUCUUUGUAAAAUAAACAAAAUGUUGAUGUUUGUGGUGAGUUGAAC